CAGAUGCUUCAGCUCAUCAUUUCUCAUUGGACACGAUGCCUUUGUCUCCAUCCACGGAGCGAAAGACGCGUAGGAGCAAGUGACGUGAUGGACGAGGACCAACGCCGACGGCAGGUCGCUUUUCACUGAAUAGAACCAACAAAAGAACUCUCGAGCCUCCGUUAAUUACGAAGCGUUCCGGUCGAUUACCUCAUGAAGCCGAAAGAAUGCGAAGCUGCAUCGAAGCAAAACAUCAAAGUGAUUCUGGUUUGUUUAACACACAGUCUCAUGUGCUUUGUAUUAAUCUACAAUGAAGGAACAAAUGGACCACCUCCCGCGCUACGACUCCCCC
Gasterosteus aculeatus aculeatus (three-spined stickleback) is the source of this 331-nucleotide long non-coding RNA. NCBI's taxonomy places the organism in Eukaryota, Metazoa, Chordata, Actinopteri, Perciformes, Gasterosteidae. The record is from Ensembl.